CCCUUCUGUGCCCGCCGGGGUGGUGGCCGCGGGUCCCUGUCCCCAGCCGAGCCUGCAGGGUGGCACUGUGUCACCUCCCACCCUCUGCUGGGUGGGCACUGUGUCACCUCCCACCCUCUGCUGGUGCCACUGUGUCACCUUCCACCUUCUCCUUGCAGGGCCGGGGUUGCAGAAGCAGCGCCGGGGUGACGGUGCUGACAGGACCCGGAGAGGAGGAGGAAGAGGAGGAGGAGGAGGAUCUCUCUGGGACAGCACCAGCUCCUUCGUUCCGUCGGUGCUGCAGACCUGGAGCUGGGGAGAAGCUCUGGAGCUGCUCAGCGAGGGGCAGCACAGCCUCAGGGAUGUGUGGACAGGACAAACUCCCAUCGGGGUGCUCCUGGCACGGCUGGCAGAGGGAAGUGGAGAAUGCCAGCUCUGCUUUCUUGAAGGACAAAGGACGCUGUUGUCCCAGGCUUGGCCAGUUUUGGACAGUGUGCUGAAGGACAGAGGAGCCUCCUGCAGGCCCAAGCCUUUCCCAGGGUUUCCAUCCCUGCCCCAGCUGCUGCAUUCCAGGGCUGAGUGCAAUCCCUUCGGCAAAGGGAAAGCUCAGGGGAAUGCACGGAGCACUUCCAAACGCAGGAACCGGGAUCGUGUCGGCUCUCUCGGCAGUUUCCCCCUCUCGUUUGGGACAGACUGGGGGACAGGAGGUGGAUUUUCAUUCUCAUCUCACACCGUGCAGAUGUGCCCUGCCCUGCAGCACCUCUGGGCACAGCUGCUGGCAGGAUGUUCAGUGACUGCACAGUUUUUGUCCCGAUUUGUGUCCCCUCUACCGUGUGAAAUAAACCUCUGGAUCUCUGCGGUGCCUCCACAUCUGUCCUGAGCAGCGGGUGCUGCUCCAGGUGCUGUUCCAGGUGCUGCUCCAUGUGCAGUUUUCUGCUCCAUGUGCAGUUCCCGGAGGUUCGGGGGCUCCAUCCCCUCCCGGGGCCGUGGCUGGCAGGGAAGAGCUGGGCUGGAGCUGCCGGAGCUGCCCGGUGCCACCUCUUGUGCCAGGGAAAUGCCAGCGCCUGCACAGGGACCC
RNAcentral lists this long non-coding RNA (1057 nucleotides) under Zonotrichia albicollis (white-throated sparrow). RNAcentral describes it as "lncRNA (ENSZALG00000010598.1)". Lineage: Eukaryota; Metazoa; Chordata; Aves; Passeriformes; Passerellidae. The record is from RNAcentral.